This 394-nucleotide ribosomal RNA is filed under the name uncultured Anaeromyxobacter sp. RNAcentral describes it as "bacterial SSU rRNA". It matches the Rfam family "Bacterial small subunit ribosomal RNA", at positions 67 to 447 of the family's 1533-position model. Lineage: Bacteria; Pseudomonadati; Myxococcota; Myxococcia; Myxococcales; Anaeromyxobacteraceae. The record is from RNAcentral.
CGAGAAAGCCCGCAAGGGUGAGUAAAGCGGCGCACGGGUGCGUAACACGUGGGUAAUCUGCCCUAGAGUCCGGAAUAACUCGCCGAAAGGCGUGCUAAUGCCGGAUGAGACCACGGGAGCUUCGGCUCCUGCGGGAAAAGGUGGCCUCUGUAUACAAGCUAUCGCUCUAGGAUGAGCCCGCGGCCCAUCAGCUCGUUGGCGGGGUAAUGGCCCACCAAGGCUACGACGGGUAGCUGGUCUGAGAGGACGAUCAGCCACACUGGAACUGAGACACGGUCCAGACUCCUACGGGAGGCAGCAGUGGGGAAUCUUGCGCAAUGGGCGAAAGCCUGACGCAGCAACGCCGCGUGUGUGAUGAAGGUCUUCGGAUCGUAAAGCACUGUCGCGAGGGACG